CUAAUUGGAAGCAUUUAUUUGGGACUGAAGUUGAUUAAGAAGAUUUUGACACUGUAUCAAGGCUUCUACAAUGUUGUUAAUCUUCGAAAUUGAACUGAGUUCCGUGGUUCUUUGAGAUGUUGAGGAAGCAAAUGAUCCGAUUGACCUUUGUUGUUCUUCUUGAAGGAGAAGAGAAAAGGCCCGGCUUAUAAAUGGGAGAGGAUCCAUAAGCAGGAGUUGAGCUUGUGCAUGAGAGAAAUUCUGAUUGAGCCCCAUAAGGACCAUAAGAUAUUCCAUCUAAAGGAAGUCUGCCAUUUCUUUUAGGCCAUCACAAGUGCAAGUUCCAUAGUUGCAAGCUGAUCUGUAUGUAUUUAACUCAUCAAUAAAAGUCUUGAACUUAGUAAAAUACAUACAAAUAGAGUCUCGGUUAUGUGAUAGUGUUGCUAGGGAUCAUUUCAAUUGAAAUAUCCUUGGAGCAUUCUUCUUUUGAAAUCAUUCUUUUUCCUCAACUGCGUAGAAUUGGAAGAAUUUGACAUUUAGUUUUUGUGUGUUCUAUAGGAAUCGAGAAAGUUAUGAGAGGAGAGAAGUUGUUUCUAAGUUUAUUAUAUCUUAACCCGACCAACCCAUAUUGGGUUAAUUUUGUGUUAAGUUAGAUUAUAAAAUUGGAGGAAAAAAAAAAGUUGAGUCGAGUCUCGGAUUAUACAAAUAAUGUACAAAUCUAAACAAUGUUAACAUGUGUCAUUUACUCA
Molecule: long non-coding RNA, 728 nt
Organism: Cucumis sativus (cucumber)
Lineage: Eukaryota; Viridiplantae; Streptophyta; Magnoliopsida; Cucurbitales; Cucurbitaceae
Exons: 2
Source: RefSeq, a predicted model, not a curated record